This 261-nucleotide ribosomal RNA is filed under the name Triticum aestivum (bread wheat). Its description in RNAcentral is "partial small subunit ribosomal RNA". Lineage: Eukaryota; Viridiplantae; Streptophyta; Magnoliopsida; Poales; Poaceae. The record is from RNAcentral.
AUGACUCGUCAUUGCGCGAUGUAUUUUCUUCACUCACUGGUAGCCAUUUCCGUCCACACCGAAAAAAAUAAACCAAGCAUCAGUUACCUUAUCAAAAUCAGUUGGAUUCAAUGUCACUUUGUUCUCCAUCAUCAUUGUAUUUAUCCAACUGAAAAGAGAUACGGUCACUCCAUGUGUAUUCGGCGCUCGCGUGGCAUGCCACGUCUGCAUGGGGCCACUGUCAGCGGCCGAAGACGCUCUGGAGCAACCAGUGCGUGGUAA